AGACAAUAAACUUGUGGGACCCCGGACCGACUACAAAGAUUGUCGUGGCGGCACAUGUGAACUUGUAAUGGAACUUGCCUAUGUAUAUUUUGUUAUCCCAACAUCGAGCAAUCAGAGAGCAACAAGUGUUGUUGGAAGGGAUCAAAUGCACUUUAUUUCUAUCGGAAUUAGUGUUGCACAAGGGUAGUUCUCGCCUUCUCCAUCAUCAUGUUUUCCUAUUUACAUGGUAGAUGAGAGAGGAUAAAGACAUUACAAUUCUACCCUUGCCUUUUUCGGAUUUACAUGAGGGUAUCCUUGUCUCAGCUGGAGCAUCUAAAUUGAAUAUUUCCUUGGCUCCAUGGAGAAGUUUAUUCCCACUGCCAUCUAGGUAGAGGCCCUUGGCAAUUCACAGCAGCAGAAGUUUCAAAGCGUGUCGUCGAGCAACUCGAAAAUAUAUCGCGAAGAGAUCCCACAAUGCUUUGCCACAGGGGACAUAGAGUGCAUUGUCUUGUGUUCAGAAGUAAAUGUCUUAGAGGAAUCUCACGUUGUUGUGUGAGGAGGCUGCAACUUUACAAAAAAUAUAUAUAUCAUUUUUAAUUACCAAAAUAUAUUUAACCAGUUGGACCGAGUGUGAAUACACAUGACAAUCUUAACCAUGCUUACUGCUUUAGUAUGUAUAACAUUUUCACACAGUUUUAUGAUACUAACGAGAUAUUUAUUGAUUUUUAGGUACCAAGCAACUUCUAAGGUGAUUUGAUAUAAUAGACAUAUGAUUCUUUGAGCGUCAAAAUUGGAGUUGUCCUACAAAAAACAGUUCUUGUAUGCCCGCAAUAGUUUCUCCUAUUUACUGGACUGGAUCUGCGUUAUCCUCGACGACUUGCCCUACCUGGUGCCUAAUAUUCCUGUAAUAUUAUACAUGCAAGAAGUGAACAUUAAACAUUUUGGAUAAAAAUAUUUGUUGCAAUGUGUACUGUGAUAUAAACAUUUUAAAUAUUUGUUUAAUUGUGCUAUGGAACUUAUAUGUCACCAGAAAUAUCUAGCAGUUAUUUUCAUGCCGUUAUAUGUGUAUCUAGCUACUAUAUAUACAUCCCCUAGUUGGCUGAUCAAAUUUAUAAUUACCUUUGGUCUAACGAUCUGCAUAUUACAAGGGGUAUCCAUCUAAAGGCCGUGUUUAGGUCAUAGAUUUUGGAUAUGUCAUCAAUCUGCUCCCUCAUAUGUUACCAGAAAAUAUGUACUCCCUCGAAGAAAUAGAAGAUUGUUUAGAACACUAUAUUUCUUUACAGAUGAAGUAGUACUUGUUUCGGUACCAAGAUAUGUGUAUCUAGCUACUAUAAUAUCUCC
This 1320-nucleotide long non-coding RNA is filed under the name Hordeum vulgare. RNAcentral's name for it is "long non-coding RNA (HVUL_LNC014166)". Lineage: Eukaryota; Viridiplantae; Streptophyta; Magnoliopsida; Poales; Poaceae. The record is from RNAcentral.